RNAcentral lists this ribosomal RNA (497 nucleotides) under uncultured bacterium. Its description in RNAcentral is "partial 16S ribosomal RNA". It matches the Rfam family "Bacterial small subunit ribosomal RNA", at positions 28 to 507 of the family's 1533-position model. The record is from RNAcentral.
GAUGAACGCUGGCGGCGUGCCUAAUACAUGCAAGUCGAGCGAACGGACGAGAAGCUUGCUUCUCUGAUGUUAGCGGCGGACGGGUGAGUAACACGUGGAUAACCUACCUAUAAGACUGGGAUAACUUCGGGAAACCGGAGCUAAUACCGGAUAAUAUUUUGAACCGCAUGGUUCAAAAGUGAAAGACGGUCUUGCUGUCACUUAUAGAUGGAUCCGCGCUGCAUUAGCUAGUUGGUAAGGUAACGGCUUACCAAGGCAACGAUGCAUAGCCGACCUGAGAGGGUGAUCGGCCACACUGGAACUGAGACACGGUCCAGACUCCUACGGGAGGCAGCAGUAGGGAAUCUUCCGCAAUGGGCGAAAGCAUGACGGAGCAACGCCGCGUGAGUGAUGAAGGUCUUCGGAUCGUAAAACUCUGUUAUUAGGGAAGAACAUAUGUGUAAGUAACUGUGCACAUCUUGACGGUACCUAAUAAGAAAGCCACGGCUAACUACGUG